Molecule: ribosomal RNA, 407 nt
Filed under: uncultured bacterium
Lineage: Bacteria
Description: partial 16S ribosomal RNA
Rfam family: Bacterial small subunit ribosomal RNA
Source: RNAcentral
AUUGAACGCUGGCGGCAUGCCUAAUACAUGCAAGUCGAGCGGAGUGGCGGACGGGUGAGUAAUGCACAGGAAGCUGCCCUGUAGAGGGGGAUAACGUCCCGACAGGGGAGCUAAUCCCGCAUACUACUUGAUGAGACUAGGUCGGAUUAGCUCGUUGGUGGGGUAAAGGCGUACCAAGGCGACGAUCCGUAACAGGUCUGAGAGGAUGAUCAGUCACACUGGAACUGAGACACGGUCCAGACUCCUACGGGAGGCAGCAGUGGGGAAUAUUGGACAAUGGGCGAAAGCCUGAUCCAGCCAUGCCGCGUGAGUGAUGAAGGUCUUCGGAUUGUAAAGCACUUUAAGUAGGGAAGCGGUACCUACAGAAUAAGCACCGGCUAACUACGUGCCAGCAGCCGCGGUAAUUC